Molecule: ribosomal RNA, 254 nt
Filed under: uncultured bacterium
Lineage: Bacteria
Description: partial 16S ribosomal RNA
Rfam family: Bacterial small subunit ribosomal RNA
Source: RNAcentral
GACGUAGGGCGCGAGCGUUGUCCGGAUUUAUUGGGCGUAAAGAGCUCGUAGGCGGCUUGUCGCGUCAACUGUGAAAACCCGUGGCUCAACCAUGUGGUCUGCAGUCGAUACGGGCAGGCUAGAGUUCGGUAGGGGAGACUGGAAUUCCUGGUGUAGCGGUGAAAUGCGCAGAUAUCAGGAGGAACACCGGUGGCGAAGGCGGGUCUCUGGGCCGAUACUGACGCUGAGGAGCGAAAGCGUGGGGAGCGAACAGG